UACGUAGGCAGCAAGCGUUGUUCGGAGUUACUGGGCGUAAAGAGUGUGUAGGCUGUUCUCUAAGUUUGGUGUGAAAUCUCCCGGCUCAACUGGGAGGGUGCGCCGAAAACUGGAGGGCUCGAGUAUGGGAGAGGAAAGCGGAAUUCCUGGUGUAGCGGUGAAAUGCGUAGAUAUCAGGAGGAACACCUGCGGUGUAGACAGCUUUCUGGACCAUCACUGACGCUGAGACACGAAAGCGUGGGUAGCAAACAGG
This 253-nucleotide ribosomal RNA is filed under the name uncultured bacterium. RNAcentral describes it as "partial 16S ribosomal RNA". It matches the Rfam family "Bacterial small subunit ribosomal RNA", at positions 524 to 776 of the family's 1533-position model. The record is from RNAcentral. RNAcentral also lists the same sequence under 2 other names.